CUGGUGCCCACUUUCCUGGCCCUGCCUGCCAGUGUUCCUACCUGCAGCCAUCCACUCCAGUUUGCUGUUUGCCACUCAUCUGGCCCCAGAAUUGCUGCCCCGCACUUCCAACUGCUGCCUGCCUGUUUCUGCACCCCAGACCUGUAUGCACGACCCCAGCUGGCUCAUCACCCAGGCUGCUGGUAGCAGACCCAGUUUCUUCAGGAUCAAAAACUGGCUGUGGAUCAUGGCCAGAUAUGAAGAAGAAAUGGAUCUCAUUUUUGGACAAGACAUACACAAGAGCUAUUGCACAGGGCCAAAGAAAAACCAAUCCAGGAUGGAUUGAUGCACUUCCAAGCCAAUGCAAAGGUCUUGAACCUAGUGUGAAGACUCCAGGUUACUAUGUUUAAAAUUUGUUACAACAUAGGCUUUCCUGUGUCCACACUCAUUCUGACAAUACUUACAGAUGAGUAUCCCCAAACCUUGGCCCCUACUUGGCUCCUAUAAUCUGGUCCCUUUUUCUGUCUUUCAUAGUGUGGUACCUUUCUGUAGUACUGUAGUACUGUAGUACUUUCUGUAGGCUACUGACUGGGUAAAUGCAUCAUUGCUUAGAUCAUUUUGAUUGGACCCUGAUUCAAGGACCUGUUAUAGAUUUA
RNAcentral lists this long non-coding RNA (635 nucleotides) under Monodelphis domestica (gray short-tailed opossum). RNAcentral's name for it is "lncRNA (ENSMODG00000040897.1)". The record is from RNAcentral. Lineage: Eukaryota; Metazoa; Chordata; Mammalia; Didelphimorphia; Didelphidae.